Molecule: ribosomal RNA, 253 nt
Filed under: uncultured bacterium
Lineage: Bacteria
Description: partial 16S ribosomal RNA
Rfam family: Bacterial small subunit ribosomal RNA
Source: RNAcentral
UACGUAGGGGGCAAGCGUUGUCCGGAUUUAUUGGGCGUAAAGAGCGUGUAGGCGGCUUUACAGGUCCGUUGUGAAAACUCGAGGCUCAACCUCGAGACGCCGGUGGAAACCGUAAAGCUAGAGUCCGGAAGAGGAGAGUGGAAUUCCUGGUGUAGCGGUGAAAUGCGCAGAUAUCAGGAUGAACACCCGUGGCGAAAGCGGCUCUCUGGGACGGUACUGACGCUGAGACGCGAAAGCGUGGGGAGCAAACAGG